RNAcentral lists this transfer RNA (77 nucleotides) under Gammaproteobacteria bacterium. RNAcentral's name for it is "tRNA-Arg". It matches the Rfam family "tRNA". Rfam says of the family: Transfer RNA (tRNA) molecules are approximately 80 nucleotides in length. Their secondary structure includes four short double-helical elements and three loops (D, anti-codon, and T loops). Further hydrogen bonds mediate the characteristic L-shaped molecular structure. tRNAs have two regions of fundamental functional importance: the anti-codon, which is responsible for specific mRNA codon recognition, and the 3' end, to which the tRNAs corresponding amino acid is attached (by aminoacyl-tRNA synthetases). tRNAs cope with the degeneracy of the genetic code in two manners: having more than one tRNA (with a specific anti-codon) for a particular amino acid; and 'wobble' base-pairing, i.e. permitting non-standard base-pairing at the 3rd anti-codon position. The record is from RNAcentral. Lineage: Bacteria; Pseudomonadati; Pseudomonadota; Gammaproteobacteria.
GCGCCUGUAGCUUAACUGGAUAGAGCAUCUGACUUCGGAUCAGAGGGUUGGGGGUUCGAAUCCCUCCAGGCGUGCUA